This 361-nucleotide long non-coding RNA is filed under the name Musa acuminata (dwarf banana). RNAcentral describes it as "long non-coding RNA (MACU_LNC007957)". The record is from RNAcentral. Lineage: Eukaryota; Viridiplantae; Streptophyta; Magnoliopsida; Zingiberales; Musaceae.
GUUGCUUGCCCAUACGUUGCUUGCCGUGUUGAGUUCACUGAGUUUGAGUCCUGUCCUCUCCAGGGAAUAGCCUUAGAAAUACCAGCGAUAGCCUUAGAAGUAGAAGUCUAGUCUUAGCCUACUGAGCUAAUACACAGCCCACUAACGCAAUCCUUCCUAGCCCUAAGGAAGUUCAUUCUCUAACACUUACUUUAUAUCCUUAAUUGCUAGAUUGAGUCCACCGUUCCUUGGUUUGAGUUGAGUUCAUUAGAUAGUAGUGUCCAAGUCAUUAGGUUGAGUUUCAUUAUUGUAUCCUAAAGACAGUUCUUUUAUUCAUAGUUCCGCUCUUACUAGUGGAGGAAUCAGAUUUGAUGUCAGUAAA